This 410-nucleotide ribosomal RNA is filed under the name uncultured microorganism. Its description in RNAcentral is "bacterial SSU rRNA". It matches the Rfam family "Bacterial small subunit ribosomal RNA", at positions 509 to 917 of the family's 1533-position model. The record is from RNAcentral.
CAGCCGCCGCGGUAAUACGUAGGGUGCGAGCGUUAAUCGGAUUUACUGGGCGUAAAGCGUGCGCAGGCGGCCCGUUAAGACAGGUGUGAAAUCCCUGGGCUCAACCUAGGAAUUGCGCUUGUGACUGGCGGGCUCGAGUACGGUAGAGGGGGGUGGAAUUCCUGGUGUAGCAGUGAAAUGCGUAGAGAUCAGGAGGAACACCGAUGGCGAAGGCAGCCCCCUGGGCCUGUACUGACGCUCAUGCACGAAAGCGUGGGAAGCAAACAGGAUUAGAUACCCUGGUAGUCCACGCCCUAAACGAUGGGUACUAGCCGUUUGGUGCGCGAUAGCGCUGAGUGGCGAAGCUAACGCGUGAAGUACCCCGCCUGGGGAGUACGGCCGCAAGGUUGAAACUUAAAGGAAUUGGCGGG